Molecule: ribosomal RNA, 332 nt
Filed under: uncultured low G+C Gram-positive bacterium 433ev
Lineage: Bacteria; Bacillati; Bacillota
Description: bacterial SSU rRNA
Rfam family: Bacterial small subunit ribosomal RNA
Source: RNAcentral
GAGUUUGAUCCUGGCUCAGAACGAACGCUGGCGGCAGGGUUUAGGCAUGCAAGUCGCACGGGAAAGUCGCAAGAUGAGUACAGUGGCGUAAGGGUGAGUAAUAGAUAGCUGACCUACCCAUCGGACGCGGAUAAUUCCUCGAAAGGGGUUGUAAUACGCGAUGAGACCACGGGCAUCACGGUGCUUGUGAUCAAAGGCUGGGGAUCCUUCGGGACCCAGCGGCCGGUGGAGGGGGCGAUCUCUGAUUAGGUAGUUGGCGGGGUAACGGCCCACCAAGCCGAUGAUCAGUAGCCGGGCUGAGAGGCUGUCCGGCCACACGGGCACUGAGACAC